RNAcentral lists this ribosomal RNA (447 nucleotides) under uncultured bacterium. RNAcentral describes it as "bacterial SSU rRNA". It matches the Rfam family "Bacterial small subunit ribosomal RNA", at positions 355 to 825 of the family's 1533-position model. The record is from RNAcentral.
UCGGGAAUUUUGGGCAAUGGGCGAAAGCCUGACCCAGCAACGCCGCGUGAAGGAUGAAGUAUUUCGGUAUGUAAACUUCGUAAGAAUAGGAAGAAUAAAUGACGGUACUAUUUAUAAGGUCCGGCUAACUACGUGCCAGCAGCCGCGGUAAUACGUAGGGACCAAGCGUUGUUCGGAUUUACUGGGCGUAAAGGGCGCGUAGGCGGCAUGACAAGUCACUUGUGAAAUCUCUGGGCUUAACCCAGAACGGCCAAGUGAUACUGUCGCGCUAGAGUGCAGAAGGGGCAAUCGGAAUUCUUGGUGUAGCGGUGAAAUGCGUAGAUAUCAAGAGGAACACCUGAGGUGAAGACGGGUUGCUGGGCUGACACUGACGCUGAGGCGCGAAAGCUAGGGUAGCAAACGGGAUUAGAUACCCCCGUAGUCCCUGAGCGGGCUGGCAAGGCGCAU